CGCGGAGUGGAGCAGUCUGGACAGCUCAUCUGGCUCAUAACCAGAAGGUCGGGGGUUCAAAUCCCUCCUCCGCAACCA
RNAcentral lists this transfer RNA (78 nucleotides) under Methylophaga sp. Its description in RNAcentral is "tRNA-Met". It matches the Rfam family "tRNA". From Rfam's summary of the family: Transfer RNA (tRNA) molecules are approximately 80 nucleotides in length. Their secondary structure includes four short double-helical elements and three loops (D, anti-codon, and T loops). The record is from RNAcentral. Lineage: Bacteria; Pseudomonadati; Pseudomonadota; Gammaproteobacteria; Thiotrichales; Piscirickettsiaceae.